This 401-nucleotide ribosomal RNA is filed under the name uncultured bacterium. RNAcentral describes it as "bacterial SSU rRNA". It matches the Rfam family "Bacterial small subunit ribosomal RNA", at positions 355 to 773 of the family's 1533-position model. The record is from RNAcentral.
UGGGGAAUAUUGGACAAUGGGCGAAAGCCUGAUCCAGCAAUGCCGCGUGUGUGAAGAAGGUCUUCGGAUUGUAAAGCACUUUCGACGGGGACGAUGAUGACGGUACCCGUAGAAGAAGCCCCGGCUAACUUCGUGCCAGCAGCCGCGGUAAUACGAAGGGGGCUAGCGUUGCUCGGAAUGACUGGGCGUAAAGGGCGCGUAGGCGGAUCAUACAGUCAGAUGUGAAAUUCCUGGGCUUAACCUGGGGGCUGCAUUUGAGACGUGUGGUCUAGAGUGUGAAAGAGGGUCGUGGAAUUCCCAGUGUAGAGGUGAAAUUCGUAGAUAUUGGGAAGAACACCGGUGGCGAAGGCGGCGACCUGGUUCAUAACUGACGCUGAGGCGCGAAAGCGUGGGGAGCAAAC